Molecule: long non-coding RNA, 672 nt
Organism: Strongylocentrotus purpuratus (purple sea urchin)
Lineage: Eukaryota; Metazoa; Echinodermata; Echinoidea; Camarodonta; Strongylocentrotidae
Exons: 3
Source: RefSeq, a predicted model, not a curated record
UCAGGCGAACAUUGACAUCGAAGUGAUACCCUAUGAUAUCAAGAAAAAUCCUAUGGAACAAAGAAGCAGAUAAUGACCACAGAAGUGCAACAAAGAGCACCAGGACCUGAUCAUCAAAUGUUAUGGUGUAGAUCUAAUCAGGAACAAGACACCUAAGUUGAACUCUGGCAAGGUUGUCCAGAAGGUUUGAUACCCAGGCUUCUUUUGUUCAAGUCCCUAGUCCACCCUCAUCUUGAGAACUGUUCCGGUGUCUGGGAUCCCUACAACAUCUCAGAUGUCCAGGACGCUUCUUUACAAUGGGGACCACAAGAGAAGCAGCAGUUUGACUGAGAUGAUCAGCACCUUUUAGUUGCCUACUAUAUCUACAACUACAAGGCACUCUGCAAGAAGACUGGGAAUGGUGCGCAAGAUAGUCAAUGGUCUCUCCGCUCUUCCUUGAACAUUUUCCCACUGCACUACUUAUAGCUAUUUGCGCCCUCUAUAUAGCAAACAAUGCCUAAUCUGUGCCUGUUGGUCCCCCAUGAUCCUCUUUUUCUUAUAUUAAUUGAGAGCUGAUUUGAUGAGAUAACCACCUGUCAGUGACCUUGCAGGGUGGUCUUAUCCCCCUGGCCAAACUAGUACAGACGGGCUUUAACAAAUCACGAGCAGGAAGUACCAUGACAUGACCCUCCA